RNAcentral lists this ribosomal RNA (253 nucleotides) under uncultured bacterium. RNAcentral's name for it is "partial 16S ribosomal RNA". It matches the Rfam family "Bacterial small subunit ribosomal RNA", at positions 524 to 776 of the family's 1533-position model. The record is from RNAcentral.
GACGAACCGUGCGAACGUUAUUCGGAAUCAUUGGGCUUAAAGCGCGUGUAGGCGGAUGGGAACGUCGAUGUUAAAAGCCCCCGGCUCAACCGGGGAACCGGCGUCGAAACGACCCAUCUAGAGGGGCAUAGAGGGAGCUGGAACUUCCGGUGGAGCGGUGAAAUGCGUUGAGAUCGGAAGGAACGCCCGUGGCGAAAGCGAGCUCCUGGAUGUCUUCUGACGCUGAGACGCGAAAGCUAGGGUAGCGAACGGG